GCGGGGCGGGGGGGGCGAGGUACUUGGUGUGGGCCUGGACCCCGCAGGCCUGGAAAGGAUGAGCGGUUCUCGCCGCUCGCGCGCAGAUGCACUCGCGCUAGGCUCGCCGCUAACCCGAAGGGAGGGAACCCUGGUGGUUUCUGAUGUUCCGUCCAUUUUAGUCCCAGAGGAUCUGUGGACGUCGAGGAGUCCAAGGAGGAAGGAAGAAGACUCUGGCAGACACACCAGGCCUAGCUCCAGACCCUCUAGGCCAGCACCUGCCUUUGGCCAGAUUAUGAAGGUAAUCAGGCUGCCUACAGGAGCCCAGGCCUCUCUGUCUGGGCUUUCCCUCCAUGGGCAUGUCCUCUCCCCUCUCACCUGAAACCCUUUCCCUUGAAUGAUUCUGAUUGUGGGUCGUCCUGCUGAGGACAGAGUUCUCUCCAGAUGAGCUUCCUCUUCCCUGGGGCUUUGUACUUUGUGCUGGGCUGUCUCGAUGAGGGUGAAAGACUCUGUGUCCUGAGAAAGGAACACUCAGCAGCAGCUGGUGAUCUGGUGAUGGCAGACUCUCUCUAGAGAGGACCCAUGAGUCCCUUGGGGAGAGCCUGGCUGGCUUUGGAGACAAGUCAUGGAUAACUUUUAUUUAUUUGCUCGCUUGUUGGUUUGUUUGAGGUAUAGUUGAUUUACAACACUGUGUCAGUUUCAGGUGUAGAGCAUAGUGAUUCAGUAUUUUUAUAGCUUAUAUUCUGUUAUAGAUUAUUAUAAGAUAAUGGAUAUAACUCCCUGUGCUAUAUAAUAUAUCCUUGUUGCUUAUCUAUUUCAUGUAUAGUAAGCAACAAAUAUUCCUAAUUUGUCCUGCCCCUCUACCCUCUCCCCUUUGGUAACCACAGAUUUGUUUUCUAUGUCUGCGAGACUCUUUCUGUUUUGUAUAUAGAUUCAUUUCUAUUACUUCUUAAAUUCCACAUAUAAGCGAUAUCAUAUAGUCCUUGGCUUUCUCUUACUUCACUGAUCACAAUAUUUUCUAGAUCCAUUGUUGUGAAUAGCUUUGAAUUGCUUCUGACCAGCAGACCGAGGCCCACCCUUCAGGUGACAGCACAGUUUUGCCUUAGUAAUUGACUCAUCUUUCAUUUGAUACAGUUUUGGUGGGACUGUCCAUCGAGGGACCCUGUCAUUCCUGGCCAGAUGGACCAUGUCACCCAAAUUAGGCAAAUUGGAUACUCUGUCCUAGGAAGUUAAAUUUUUUGAGGAGGUGAUACAAAACCAGAAAAUGUUUGGGGCCAAUUCGUCCUAGUUCUGGUCAUUACCCCCUGGUGUCUGCUUCCCAGAUUCCUGGAACUGCCCUGCUGCUCAUCCUUCUGGCUUCAGCUUUUCCUGGAGUUCUCUGUUUCCUCAUGUCUUCCUAUAAAGUCCUUUCUGGGUAAGUUACACAGAUCCAGUUUCUAUUGCUUACCGUCUAAGACCCUGGGCUAAUGUGGCACCAAUGUCACUUAGGUCUUUCAAGCCCCAUUGCCUCCCCUAGCAAUGGUUAAGGCCUCUCCAUGUGUGUGCAUAUGUGGGGUCCUGCUGUAUUUUAUUUAUGCUGUGGAUGGAAUGUGGGCAGUGGUCGAAGGAGGCCAGCCAGGUUGGGUGUUAGGAGCUAAGCGAGAUGGUGGAGUCAGCCAGAUUCAUCUCCUAGGUCCUUAACCAGACUGUCAGAUUGGACUUGCACAGCCAUGGGAGGAGGCUCAUGGCAGAUCCAGGAAGCGCAUGAGGCCACAGGCUGAAUACACUGUAUCUUGUCAAAGUGCCAAUGUGAAGAUUUUACGGGCAUAGGGAGACAUCGUAGAGUUUUGUUGUUGUUGUUGUUUUUAGUUUUAAAGAAAAAAUAUAUAUGUAUUGGGCAUAGGAAUAAAAUCUGCAGGAAUUUUUAUGAGAACA
This 1893-nucleotide long non-coding RNA is filed under the name Sus scrofa (pig). Its description in RNAcentral is "lncRNA (ENSSSCG00070007238.1)". The record is from RNAcentral. Lineage: Eukaryota; Metazoa; Chordata; Mammalia; Artiodactyla; Suidae.